This 453-nucleotide ribosomal RNA is filed under the name uncultured bacterium. Its description in RNAcentral is "bacterial SSU rRNA". It matches the Rfam family "Bacterial small subunit ribosomal RNA", at positions 340 to 784 of the family's 1533-position model. The record is from RNAcentral.
UACGGAAGGCAGCAGUGGGGAAUAUUGCACAAUGGGCGCAAGCCUGAUGCAGCCAUGCCGCGUGUAUGAAGAAGGCCUUCGGGUUGUAAAGUACUUUCAGUCGUGAGGAAGGUGUUAAGGUUAAUAACCUUAGCAAUUGACGUUAGCGACAGAAGAAGCACCGGCUAACUCCGUGCCAGCAGCCGCGGUAAUACGGAGGGUGCGAGCGUUAAUCGGAAUUACUGGGCGUAAAGGGCACGCAGGCGGUUAAUUAAGUUGGAUGUGAAAUCCCCGGGCUUAACCUGGGAAUGGCAUUCAAGACUGGUUAGCUAGAGUCUUGUAGAGGGGGUAGAAUUCCAUGUGUAGCGGUGAAAUGCGUAGAGAUGUGGAGGAAUAUCGGUGGCGAAGGCGGCCCCUGGGACAAGACUGACGCUCAUGUGCGAAAGCGUGGGGAGCGAAACAGGGAUUAGGAUA